This 371-nucleotide ribosomal RNA is filed under the name uncultured organism. RNAcentral's name for it is "bacterial SSU rRNA". It matches the Rfam family "Bacterial small subunit ribosomal RNA", at positions 526 to 896 of the family's 1533-position model. The record is from RNAcentral.
CGUAGGGGGCAAGCGUUGUCCGGAUUUAUUGGGCGUAAAGAGCGUGUAGGCGGCCAGGUAGGUCUGCUGUGAAACUCGAGGCUCAACCUCGAGACGCCGGCGGAAACCAUCUGGCUAGAGUCCGGAAGAGGAGAGUGGAAUUCCUGGUGUAGCGGUGAAAUGCGCAGAUAUCAGGAAGAACACCCGUGGCGAAGGCGGCUCUCUGGGACGGUACUGACGCUGAGACGCGAAAGCGUGGGGAGCGAACAGGAUUAGAUACCCUGGUAGUCCACGCCGUAAACGAUGAGUGCUAGGUGUGGGGGGUGUCGGACUCCCUCCGUGCCGAAGCUAACGCAUUAAGCACUCCGCCUGGGGAUACGGCCGCAAGGCUA